UACAGAGGUCCCAAGCGUUGUUCGGAUUUAUUGGGCGUAAAGGGCGCGUAGGUGGCGCCGUAAGUCGGGUGUGAAAUUUCGGAGCUUAACUCCGAAACUGCAUUCGAUACUGCGGUGCUUGAGGACUGGAGAGGAGACUGGAAUUCAUGGUGUAGCAGUGAAAUGCGUAGAGAUCAUGAGGAAGACCAGUGGCGAAGGCGGGUCUCUGGACAGUACCUGACACUGAGGCACGAAGGCCAGGGGAGCAAACGGG
Molecule: ribosomal RNA, 253 nt
Filed under: uncultured bacterium
Lineage: Bacteria
Description: partial 16S ribosomal RNA
Rfam family: Bacterial small subunit ribosomal RNA
Source: RNAcentral